UACGUAGGGUGCGAGCGUUGUCCGGAAUUACUGGGCGUAAAGAGCUCGUAGGUGGUUUGUCGCGUUGUCCGUGAAAACUCACAGCUUAACUGUGGGCGUGCGGGCGAUACGGGCAGACUAGAGUACUGCAGGGGAGACUGGAAUUCCUGGUGUAGCGGUGGAAUGCGCAGAUAUCAGGAGGAACACCGAUGGCGAAGGCAGGUCUCUGGGCCGCAACUGACGCUGGAGGAGCGAAAGCAUGGGGAGCGAACAGG
This 254-nucleotide ribosomal RNA is filed under the name uncultured bacterium. Its description in RNAcentral is "partial 16S ribosomal RNA". It matches the Rfam family "Bacterial small subunit ribosomal RNA", at positions 524 to 776 of the family's 1533-position model. The record is from RNAcentral.